This 389-nucleotide long non-coding RNA is filed under the name Elaeis guineensis (African oil palm). Its description in RNAcentral is "long non-coding RNA (EGUI_LNC075930)". The record is from RNAcentral. Lineage: Eukaryota; Viridiplantae; Streptophyta; Magnoliopsida; Arecales; Arecaceae.
GACUCCCCCAGCAGCUGAACCUCCCCGACUGUCCGAGCCUCCAUAAUACCAUCCGGACUCCCCCAGCGGUCGACCUUCUACAGUGUCCUACAGAUUCCUCCAACGGACGAACUCCUAUCGUGCCAUCUAGACUUCACUAAUAAUGAGCUCCUCCAUUCAUCUACCGGACUGCUCCAAACGCUCUCUAAGCUUCACUAUCAGCCAAUUUUCCACAGUGAUCGACUAUUCUUCGAAUCUCUUCCAAACUUUUUCCAGCCACGAUCGACUCUACUCCGAACUUCUAUUGCAAGCGGACUUCAUCCGAGCUCCUACAAGAGCCGGACUCCGCCCGAACUUCUAUAGUGGAUGGAUCCCAAAUGAACUUCUACAAUGGAUGGGCUCCACCUGCC